GUGCCAAGCAGCCGCGGUAAUUCCAUCUCUGAGAGCUUUCUCUUAUGUUGCUGCAGUUAAAAUGCCCGUAGCCGUUAUUAGAGAAAUCGUAUCACUUUGAGAAAAUCGGAGCGCUCAUAGCAGGCAUGCCGUUGUACAGCACAGCAAAGUAUGAUAUCGGGGUCGCAAGACUCUAUGCAUUACACGGCGGCGCGGGGCCAAUGGUAUUUUCUGGGGACAGGUGAAAUAGGAUGAUCCAGAAAGGACCUACAGGAGCGAAGGCAGUUGGCAAGCGCCGUCCGGUUGGUCAAGGGCGAAAGUGUAUGGAUAGACGAUGAUUAGAAACCGUUUUAUUAUACGCCUUAAACGAUACCAUCUCGGCAGAGGGCCUAUUGCUCUCAGCCCCAAAGAAAUCGAAAGACUUCAGGCUCUGGGGGAAGUAUGGUCGCAAGGCUGAAACUUGAAGGAAUUGACGGAAAGAUACCACCAGAUGUGGAUUUUGCGGUUCAAUUUGACUCAACACGCAAAUCUUACCAGACCCAGACACUUUUUGGAGCAACAGAUUGAGAGUUCUUUUGCGAUUGGGUGAAAAGGUGGUGCAUGGCCGCUCCUAGUUCGUGGUGUUAACUGUCUGCCCCAUUGCGAUAACGAGCGAGAUCGAUAGGAUAAUAAUUUUAUCCGAGCGCCAGCGCUGAGCUGGACGAACGUAUCGGCUCUAGCAGGUCUGUGAUGCCC
RNAcentral lists this ribosomal RNA (714 nucleotides) under uncultured Trepomonas. Its description in RNAcentral is "bacterial SSU rRNA". It matches the Rfam family "Eukaryotic small subunit ribosomal RNA", at positions 564 to 1472 of the family's 1831-position model. The record is from RNAcentral. Lineage: Eukaryota; Fornicata; Diplomonadida; Hexamitidae.